This 203-nucleotide unclassified non-coding RNA is filed under the name Hevea brasiliensis (rubber tree). The record is from RNAcentral. Lineage: Eukaryota; Viridiplantae; Streptophyta; Magnoliopsida; Malpighiales; Euphorbiaceae.
GUGUUAUUAAGGCGAAAGGCGAUAUUAAGGCAAUAGGAUAACCAAUGGCCUUAGGCGAGAGGCGAGGUCCUUUUUUGAAAAAUAUAUAUAUCACACUUUUAACUUCAAAGGAAAAAAAAGAAAAAAACAAUUUGCUGCACACUACAAGUAAUAUAGAGAAAUAGAAAGCAAAAAAUAACAAGGUUAUAGAAAGGAAAUGAAAU